GGGACACGUGGUAUCCUGUCUGAAUAUGGGGGGACCAUCCUCCAAGGCUAAAUACUCCUGACUGACCGAUAGUGAACCAGUACCGUGAGGGAAAGGCGAAAAGAACCCCGGCGAGGGGAGUGAAAAAGAACCUGAAACCGUGUACGUACAAGCAGUGGGAGCACCCUUCGGGGUGUGACUGCGUACCUUUUGUAUAAUGGGUCAGCGACUUAUAUUCUGUAGCAAGGUUAACCGAAUAGGGGAGCCGGAGGGAAACCGAGUCUUAAUUGGGCGUUAAGUUGCAGGGUAUAGACCCGAAACCCGGUGAUCUAGCCAUGGGCAGGUUGAAGGUUGGGUAACACUAACUGGAGGACCGAACCGACUAAUGUUGAAAAAUUAGCGGAUGACCUGUGGCUGGGGGUGAAAGGCCAAUCAAACCGGGAGAUAGCUGGUUCUCCCCGAAAGCUAUUUAGGUAGCGCCUCGUGAAUUCAUCUCCGGGGGUAGAGCACUGUUUCGGCUAGGGGGCCAUCCCGGCUUACCAACCCGAUGCAAACUGCGAAUACCGGAGAAUGUUAUCACGGGAGACACACGGCGGGUGCUAACGUCCGUCGUGAAGAGGGAAACAACCCAGACCGCCAGCUAAGGUCCCAAAGUCAUGGUUAAGUGGGAAACGAUGUGGGAAGGCCCAGACAGCCAGGAUGUUGGCUUAGAAGCAGCCAUCAUUUAAAGAAAGCGUAAUAGCUCACUGGUCGAGUCGGCCUGCGCGGAAGAUGUAACGGGGCUAAACCAUGCACCGAAGCUGCGGCAGCGACACUGUGUGUUGUUGGGUAGGGGAGCGUUCUGUAAGCCUGUGAAGGUGUGUCGUGAGGCAUGCUGGAGGUAUCAGAAGUGCGAAUGCUGACAUAAGUAACGAUAAAGCGGGUGAAAAGCCCGCUCGCCGGAAGACCAAGGGUUCCUGUCCAACGUUAAUCGGGGCAGGGUGAGUCGACCCCUAAGGCGAGGCCGAAAGGCGUAGUCGAUGGGAAACGGGUUAAUAUUCCCGUACUUGGUGUUACUGCGAAGGGGGGACGGAGAAGGCUAUGUUGGCCGGGCGACGGUUGUCCCGGUUUAAGCGUGUAGGUGUGUGUUCCAGGUAAAUCCGGUUCACUUUAACACUGAGGCGUGACGACGAGGCACUACGGUGCUGAAGCAACAAAUGCCCUGCUUCCAGGAAAAGCCUCUAAGCAUCAGGUAACAUCAAAUCGUACCCCAAACCGACACAGGUGGUCAGGUAGAGAAUACCAAGGCGCUUGAGAGAACUCGGGUGAAGGAACUAGGCAAAAUGGUGCCGUAACUUCGGGAGAAGGCACGCUGACACGUAGGUGAAGUGAUUUACUCAUGGAGCUGAAGUCAGUCGAAGAUACCAGCUGGCUGCAACUGUUUAUUAAAAACACAGCACUGUGCAAACACGAAAGUGGACGUAUACGGUGUGACGCCUGCCCGGUGCCGGAAGGUUAAUUGAUGGGGUCAGCGCAAGCGAAGCUCCUGAUCGAAGCCCCGGUAAACGGCGGCCGUAACUAUAACGGUCCUAAGGUAGCGAAAUUCCUUGUCGGGUAAGUUCCGACCUGCACGAAUGGCGUAAUGAUGGCCAGGCUGUCUCCACCCGAGACUCAGUGAAAUUGAACUCGCUGUGAAGAUGCAGUGUACCCGCGGCAAGACGGAAAGACCCCGUGAACCUUUACUAUAGCUUGACACUGAACAUUGAGCCUUGAUGUGUAGGAUAGGUGGGAGGCUUUGAAGCGUGGAC
Molecule: ribosomal RNA, 1766 nt
Filed under: Salmonella enterica subsp. enterica serovar Stanley
Lineage: Bacteria; Pseudomonadati; Pseudomonadota; Gammaproteobacteria; Enterobacterales; Enterobacteriaceae
Description: partial 23S ribosomal RNA
Rfam family: Bacterial large subunit ribosomal RNA
Source: RNAcentral